GCAUAAUACGCGUGGUGAAACGGUAUCAGGCUUGCCUUCCAAGCAAGCGGUUCGGGUUUGACUCCCGGUGCGUGCA
This 76-nucleotide transfer RNA is filed under the name Sphaerobolus stellatus SS14. RNAcentral describes it as "tRNA-Gly (TCC) (tRNA-Gly-TCC-11-1)". It matches the Rfam family "tRNA". From Rfam's summary of the family: Transfer RNA (tRNA) molecules are approximately 80 nucleotides in length. Their secondary structure includes four short double-helical elements and three loops (D, anti-codon, and T loops). The record is from RNAcentral. Lineage: Eukaryota; Fungi; Basidiomycota; Agaricomycetes; Geastrales; Sphaerobolaceae.